UCCGAUUUUUGACGAGCGCUUCUUUUAGAUUAAAACCAAUCGGAUUUCGGUCCGUCAUUUGGUGACUCUGAAUAGCUAUGGCUGAUCGCAUGGUCUUGUACCGGCGACGUAUCUAUCAAGUGUCUGCCUUAUCAACUUUCGAUGGUAGUUUAUGUGCCUACCAUGGUUGUAACGGGUAACGGAGAAUAAGGGUUCGACUCCGGAGAGGGAGCCUGAGAAACGGCUACCACAUCCAAGGAAGGCAGCAGGCGCGCAAAUUACCCACUCUCGGCAUGAGGAGGUAGUGACGAAAAAUAACGAGACCGUUCUCUAUGAGGCCGGUUAUCGGAAUGGGUACAAUUUAAACCCGUUAACGAGGAUCUAUGAGAGGGCAAGUCUGGUGCCAGCAGCCGCGGUAAUUCCAGCUCUCAAAGUGUAUAUCGUCAUUGCUGCGGUUAAAAAGCUCGUAGUUGGAUCUGCGCCUCAGGACUCGGUCCGCCCACUGGGUGAGAACUGGGCUCCUAGGCUAAUACUGCUGGUUUUCCCUAUGUUGCCUUCACCGGUCGCGUAGGGUGGCUAGCGAGUUUACUUUGAAAAAAUUAGAGUGCUUCACGCGGGCUAUUGUCUGAAUACUCGUGCAUGGAAUAAUAGAAUAGGAUCUCGGUUCUAUUUUGUUGGUUUUCUGAUCUGAGAUAAUGGUUAAGAGGGACGGACGGGGGCAUUCGUAUCGCUGCGUGAGAGGUGAAAUUCUUGGACCGUAGCGAGACGUCCGACUGCGAAAGCAUUUGCCAAGAAUGUCUUCAUUAAUCAAGAACGAAAGUCAGAGGUUCGAAGGCGAUCA
Molecule: ribosomal RNA, 820 nt
Filed under: Aplectana chamaeleonis
Lineage: Eukaryota; Metazoa; Nematoda; Chromadorea; Rhabditida; Cosmocercidae
Description: SSU rRNA
Rfam family: Eukaryotic small subunit ribosomal RNA
Source: RNAcentral